RNAcentral lists this ribosomal RNA (208 nucleotides) under uncultured bacterium. RNAcentral describes it as "partial 16S ribosomal RNA". It matches the Rfam family "Bacterial small subunit ribosomal RNA", at positions 568 to 774 of the family's 1533-position model. The record is from RNAcentral.
CUCGUAGGCGGUUCAGUAAGUCGGGUGUUAAAACUCUGGGCUCAACCCAGAGACGCCACCCGAUACUGCUGUGACUUGAGUACGGUAGGGGAGUGGGGAAUUCCUGGUGUAGCGGUGAAAUGCGCAGAUAUCAGGAGGAACACCAGUGGCGAAGGCGCCACUCUGGGCCGUAACUGACGCUGAGGAGCGAAAGCGUGGGUAGCAAACA